Molecule: ribosomal RNA, 399 nt
Filed under: uncultured bacterium
Lineage: Bacteria
Description: bacterial SSU rRNA
Rfam family: Bacterial small subunit ribosomal RNA
Source: RNAcentral
GGGGAAUAUUGGACAAUGGGGGAAACCCUGAUCCAGCCAUGCCGCGUGAGUGAUAAGGCCUUAGGGUUGUAAAACUCUUUCGGUGGUGAAGAUAGUGACGGUAACCACAGAAGAAGCCCCGGCUAACUUCGUGCCAGCAGCCGCGGUAAUACGAAGGGGGCUAGCGUUGUUCGGAAUCACUGGGCGUAAAGCGCGCGUAGGCGGACUGUCAAGUCAGGGGUGAAAUCCCGAGGCUCAACCUCGGAACUGCCUUUGAAACUGUCAGUCUGGAGUCUCGGAGGGGAUGGCGGAAUUGCUAGUGUAGGGGUGAAAUCCGUAGAUACUAGCAGGAACACCGGUGGCGAAGGCGGCCAUCUGGACGAGAACUGACGCUGAGGCGCGAAAGCGUGGGGAGCAAAC